Molecule: ribosomal RNA, 507 nt
Filed under: uncultured bacterium
Lineage: Bacteria
Description: bacterial SSU rRNA
Rfam family: Bacterial small subunit ribosomal RNA
Source: RNAcentral
CAGGAUUAGAUACCCUGGUAGUCCACGCCCUAAACGAUGCGAACUAGGUGUUGGGGAAGGAGACUUUCUUAGUACCGCAGCUAACGCGUGAAGUUCGCCGCCUGGGGAGUACGGUCGCAAGAUUAAAACUCAAAGGAAUUGACGGGGACCCGCACAAGCGGUGGAUGAUGUGGAUUAAUUCGAUGCAACGCGAAAAACCUUACCUACCCUUGACAUGUCAGGAAGUCCGCUGAGAGGUGGAUGUGCCCGAAAGGGAACCUGAACACAGGUGCUGCAUGGCUGUCGUCAGCUCGUGUCGUGAGAUGUUGGGUUAAGUCCCGCAACGAGCGCAACCCUUGUCAUUAAUUGCCAUCAUUCAGUUGGGCACUUUAAUGAGACUGCCGGUGACAAACCGGAGGAAGGUGGGGAUGACGUCAAGUCCUCAUGGCCCUUAUGGGUAGGGCUUCACACGUCAUACAAUGGUCGGUACAGAGGUCGCCAACCGCGAGGGGAGCCGAAUCCCACAAA